UGGUGGUUCACUGCGUUGUCAGAACGGGUGACACGUACGGAGGAGAGGCCGACAGAAAAGUGUUUCUCACCAUCUACGGAGACCUGGGAGACACGGGAAUGCAAACUCAGCAAGUCAGAGCAUCAGCAACAAGUUUGAAAGACAAAUUCUCCAUCGAGAUGGUGGAUCUCGGCCAGGUGUUUAUGAUCCGUAUCCGCAACGACAACUCAGACUGGAUGGGAGCCAACUUGUGCUGGACCAGGUAGAGGUGGUGGACGUGGAAACAGAGGAGGUGUAUGUUCCUGUGUGUGUUGGCUCUCCAAAAAGAAUGAGGACAAACGCAUCGAGAGAAUCUACUAUGUCAAGCGUCACCCCAGAGAGCUGCUGGUUGGUGGAUGAGUUGUCGGUUGCCGUGCCGACAGAAGGCAUCAAGUACAUCUUCCAAUGUAAGUGCUGGUUGGCCAAGGACAGAGGCAAUGGUCUCAUCACAGACUGUUCAACAUACUAGACACCAACAUCAUCCGGAAGCCUACCCCAGCCAAACCCGGAC
This 529-nucleotide long non-coding RNA is filed under the name Salmo salar (Atlantic salmon). RNAcentral's name for it is "lncRNA (ENSSSAG00000118329.1)". Lineage: Eukaryota; Metazoa; Chordata; Actinopteri; Salmoniformes; Salmonidae. The record is from RNAcentral.